UUGUGUUCAUGAAGGAAUACA
This 21-nucleotide non-coding RNA is filed under the name Caenorhabditis elegans. The record is from RNAcentral. Lineage: Eukaryota; Metazoa; Nematoda; Chromadorea; Rhabditida; Rhabditidae.